This 253-nucleotide ribosomal RNA is filed under the name uncultured bacterium. Its description in RNAcentral is "partial 16S ribosomal RNA". It matches the Rfam family "Bacterial small subunit ribosomal RNA", at positions 524 to 776 of the family's 1533-position model. The record is from RNAcentral.
UACAGAGGGUGCGAGCGUUAAUCGGAAUUAUUGGGCGUAAAGGGUGCGUAGGUGGUUAGAUAAGUUAGAUGUGAAAGUCCUAGGCUCAACCUAGGGAUUGCAUUUAAUACUAUUUAGCUAGAGUACUGUAGAGGAAAGUGGAAUUUCCGGUGUAGCGGUGAAAUGCGUAGAUAUCGGAAGGAAUAUCAGUGGCGAAGGCGGCUUUCUGGACAGAUACUGACACUGAGGCACGAAAGCAUGGGGAGCAAACAGG